RNAcentral lists this small nucleolar RNA (182 nucleotides) under Acanthisitta chloris (rifleman). Its description in RNAcentral is "Small nucleolar RNA SNORA23". It matches the Rfam family "Small nucleolar RNA SNORA23". From Rfam's summary of the family: The members of this family belong to the H/ACA class of snoRNAs which are thought to guide the sites of modification of uridines to pseudouridines. This family includes human snoRNA ACA23 (SNORA23) and mouse snoMBI-1. Lineage: Eukaryota; Metazoa; Chordata; Aves; Passeriformes; Acanthisittidae. The record is from Rfam by way of RNAcentral.
GCAGCACUGUGUGCACAGCUGCCCAUCUGUGUCUGGUGGUGUGGUCUGCUUGUGUUCUGCAUGUGGACCACACUGCUCACGCAAAACCUGUGGCCAAAGAGCAACCGGAGAUCAUAGUACUGGUCCAGUGACGUCUGAAGGACGAGCCUCCCACUGACCAGCCUCCACACUCUCAAACAUCU